GCUGGGCAGCGUGGUGCAUGCCUGUAAUCCCAGCUACUUGGGAGGCUGAGGCAGAAGACUUGCUUGAACCCAGGAGGCAGAGGUUGCUGCAGUGAGCUGAGAGCAUGCCACUGCACUCCAGCCUGGGUGACAGAGUAAGACUCUGCCUCAA
RNAcentral lists this non-coding RNA (151 nucleotides) under Pan paniscus (pygmy chimpanzee). The record is from Rfam by way of RNAcentral. RNAcentral also lists the same sequence under 1 other name. Lineage: Eukaryota; Metazoa; Chordata; Mammalia; Primates; Hominidae.